UUUCCGUAGGUGAACCUGCGGAAGGAUCAUUAUUGUAUAACCAAAGUGCUAGGGUUGCCGCUGGCCCGAAUGGUGGAGCAUGCCCGAGUGCCCUCACACACAUCCAUCACACCCCUAUGUUCACCACCGCAUGAGUCCCCCUUAGCCUUGUUCGGCGAGGGGCGUACGUUUUCACACAAACUUUAUAUACAGUGUAGAACGUAUGUUUUCUUUUUUCUAUCACCCAAUCAAUACAACUUUCAUCAACGGAUCUCUUGUCUGUACCACCGUUGAAGAACG
RNAcentral lists this unclassified non-coding RNA (279 nucleotides) under plant metagenome. RNAcentral describes it as "partial contains small subunit ribosomal RNA, internal transcribed spacer 1, and 5.8S ribosomal RNA". The record is from RNAcentral.